AAGCGUUAAUCGGAAUCACUGGGCGUAAAGCGCGCGUAGGUGGAUAUUUAAGUCGGAUGUGAAAGCCCUAGGCUUAACCUGGGAAUUACAUCCGAUACUAGGUAUCUCGAGUAUGAUAGAGGGAAGUGGAAUUUCCGGUGUAGCGGUGAAAUGCGUAGAUAUCGGAAAGAACACCAGUGGCGAAGGCGGCUUCCUGGAGCAAUACUGACACUGAGGCGCGAAAGCGUGGGGAGCAAACAGGAUUAGAGACCCUGGUAGUCCACGCCGUCAACGAUGAGAACUAGCUGUUGGAAAGUUUUCUUUCUAGUAGCAAAGCUAACGCGUUAAGUUCUCCG
RNAcentral lists this ribosomal RNA (335 nucleotides) under Coxiella-like endosymbiont. RNAcentral describes it as "bacterial SSU rRNA". It matches the Rfam family "Bacterial small subunit ribosomal RNA", at positions 536 to 871 of the family's 1533-position model. The record is from RNAcentral. Lineage: Bacteria; Pseudomonadati; Pseudomonadota; Gammaproteobacteria; Legionellales; Coxiellaceae.